UGCGGUGGGUACGGGCAGACUAGAGUGCAGUAGGGGAGACUGGAAUUCCUGGUGUAGCGGUGGAAUGCGCAGAUAUCAGGAGGAACACCGAUGGCGAAGGCAGGUCUCUGGGCUGUAACUGACGCUGAGGAGCGAAAGCAUGGGGAGCGAACAGGAUUAGAUACCCUGGUAGUNCAUGCCGUAAACGUUGGGCACUAGGUGUGGGGACCAUUCCACGGUUUCCGCGCCGCAGCUAACGCAUUAAGUGCCCCGCCUGGGGAGUACGGCCGCAAGGCUAAAACUCAAAGGAAUUGACGGGGGCCCGCACAAGCGGCGGAGCAUGCGGAUUAAUUCGAUGCAACGCGAAGAACCUUACCAAGGCUUGACAUGUUCUCGAUCGCCGUAGAGAUACGGUUUCCCCUUUGGGGUGGGUUCACAGGUGGUGCAUGGUUGUCGUCAGCUCGUGUCGUGAGAUGUUGGGUUAAGUCCCGCAACGAGCGCAACCCUCGUUCCAUGUUGCCAGCACGUCGUGGUGGGGACUCAUGGGAGACUGCCGGGGUCAACUCGGAGGAAGGUGAGGACGACGUCAAAUCAUCAUGCCCCUUAUGUCUUGGGCUUCACGCAUGCUACAAUGGCCGGUACAAUGGGUUGCGAUACUGUGAGGUGGAGCUAAUCCCAAAAAGCCGGUCUCAGUUCGGAUUGGGGUCUGCAACUCGACCCCAUGAAGUCGGAGUCGCUAGUAAUCGCAGAUCAGCAACGCUGCGGUGAAUACGUUCCCGGGCCUUGUACACACCGCCC
RNAcentral lists this ribosomal RNA (777 nucleotides) under Micrococcus luteus. Its description in RNAcentral is "bacterial SSU rRNA". It matches the Rfam family "Bacterial small subunit ribosomal RNA", at positions 622 to 1395 of the family's 1533-position model. The record is from RNAcentral. Lineage: Bacteria; Bacillati; Actinomycetota; Actinomycetes; Micrococcales; Micrococcaceae.